AGUGAACGCUGGCGGCAUGCCUAACACAUGCAAGUCGAACGGCAGCACAGUAAGAGCUUGCUCUUACGGGUUGCGAGUGGCGGACGGGUGAGGUAUACAUCGGAACUUACUUUUUCGUGGGGGAUAACGUAGGGAAACUUACGCUAAUACCGCAUACGACCUACGGGUGAAAGCAGGGGAUCUUCGGACCUUGCGCGAUUGAAUGAGCCGAUGUCGGAUUAGCUAGUUGGCGGGGUAAAGGCCCACCAAGGCGACGAUCCGUAGCUGGUCUGAGAGGAUGAUCAGCCACACUGGAACUGAGACACGGUCCAGACUCCUACGGGAGGCAGCAGUGGGGAAUAUUGGACAAUGGGCGCAAGCCUGAUCCAGCAAUACCGCGUGUGUGAAGAAGGCCUUCGGGUUGUAAAGCCCUUUUGUUGGGAAAGAAGAGCAGCAGGUUAAUACGCCGCUGUUCUGACGGUACCGGAAGAAUAAGCACCGGCUAACUUCGUG
RNAcentral lists this ribosomal RNA (492 nucleotides) under uncultured bacterium. RNAcentral describes it as "partial 16S ribosomal RNA". It matches the Rfam family "Bacterial small subunit ribosomal RNA", at positions 29 to 507 of the family's 1533-position model. The record is from RNAcentral.